Non-coding RNA from Aspergillus fumigatus Af293, 72 nucleotides. Lineage: Eukaryota; Fungi; Ascomycota; Eurotiomycetes; Eurotiales; Aspergillaceae. The record is from the annotation of a RefSeq genome assembly.
UAUGUGUAAGCGCGGGAACUUCAUCUGCGUCGACACUGGGAAGGCACACUUCAGGGUCAUCAGAUACGGAUC